Podarcis lilfordi (Lilford's wall lizard) is the source of this 79-nucleotide non-coding RNA. NCBI's taxonomy places the organism in Eukaryota, Metazoa, Chordata, Lepidosauria, Squamata, Lacertidae. The record is from the annotation of a GenBank genome assembly.
GCCUUGCUAGCUCAGUUCGAUAAAGCAUGGUGCUAAUAAUGCCAAGGUUGCAGGUUCGAGCCCUGUAUGGGAUAGGGCA